GACAAAAUGAGUGAUAAAAAGGGCAAGGCACCAGAGGCGAAAGGAUGUGACGGAGAAGGAAAAGGAAAGGGUGGAACGGGGGCAGCAGUACCUGGAAAAGAACACGGAAAGGAUCAUGGGAAAGAUCAUGGAAAAGAUCAUGGAAAAGGAAAAGAAGGUGGACAGGCUAAACCAGAUGAAAAGAAAGGAGGUCAUGGUCCUGGUAAAUGAAGAAGAACUCCUUGAAUCGACAUUCUGUGAUAAUGAUUGUAAAGAAUUUAAUACAUCUUUAAUAAACUAAUCCAGAAAAAGGCAA
Molecule: long non-coding RNA, 295 nt
Organism: Perca flavescens (yellow perch)
Lineage: Eukaryota; Metazoa; Chordata; Actinopteri; Perciformes; Percidae
Exons: 5
Source: RefSeq, a predicted model, not a curated record